GAGAGAGAAAGAGGCAGAGAGACAGAGAGGGGCUUCAGGUGUCAGUGCAGGGAGCUGUGGAUGCUGCAGGACUUCACAUCAGCCGCUGCGUUCUGGGGUCCCGUGGUGGGGGAGAGCUGAGGUUGGACAGCAAAGGAGGAGACAUUGCCAAGAAAAGACUGAAUAAAGGGUUGUGUUAUUUUCCACACAAGGAUGGGCUGGGAUUGCUGCACUGACUGCACGACACGGGAGUAUUUUCAUGGCC
Molecule: long non-coding RNA, 244 nt
Organism: Conger conger (European conger)
Lineage: Eukaryota; Metazoa; Chordata; Actinopteri; Anguilliformes; Congridae
Exons: 3
Source: RefSeq, a predicted model, not a curated record